This 538-nucleotide ribosomal RNA is filed under the name uncultured bacterium. Its description in RNAcentral is "partial 16S ribosomal RNA". It matches the Rfam family "Bacterial small subunit ribosomal RNA", at positions 28 to 523 of the family's 1533-position model. The record is from RNAcentral.
GAUUAACGCUGGCGGCAUGCCUAAGACAUGCAAGUCGAACGAAGUGAACCGAUGAAGUUGGAGUGCUUGCACAAAGAUGAAUUCGGAUCUCACUUAGUGGCGGACGGGUGAGUAACACGUGGGUAAUCUACCUUUAAGAUUGGGACAACACAGGGAAACUUGUGCUAAUACCGAAUAGGAAGUAGAAAUGAUUUUUUUGUUUUGAAAGGUGCCUUUAAAGCACUACUUAAAGAUGAGCCUGCGGCGUAUUAGUUAGUUGGUAGGGUAACGGCCCACCAAGGCGACGAUGCAUAGCCGACCUGAGAGGGGGAUCGGCCACACUGGGACUGAGACACGGCCCAGACUCCUACGGGAGGCAGCAGUAGGGAAUCUUCCACAAUGGACGAAAGUCUGAUGGAGCAGCGCCGCGUGAACGAUGAAGGCUUUCGGGUCGUAAAGUUCUGUUGUAAGGGAAGAACAAGUGCCGCAGGCAAUGGCGGCACCUUGACGGUACCUUGCGAGAAAGCCACGGCUAACUACGUGCCAGCCGCCGCGGUAA